UGGGGUCGUGGUGUAACGGUUGCAUUACUGGCUUUUAACCAGUCAGGUGGGGGUUCGAAUCCCUCCGACCUCAU
Molecule: transfer RNA, 74 nt
Filed under: Gimesia maris
Lineage: Bacteria; Pseudomonadati; Planctomycetota; Planctomycetia; Planctomycetales; Planctomycetaceae
Also listed under: 1 other name
Description: tRNA-Lys
Rfam family: tRNA
About the family: Transfer RNA (tRNA) molecules are approximately 80 nucleotides in length. Their secondary structure includes four short double-helical elements and three loops (D, anti-codon, and T loops).
Source: RNAcentral